This 427-nucleotide ribosomal RNA is filed under the name uncultured bacterium. RNAcentral describes it as "partial 16S ribosomal RNA". It matches the Rfam family "Bacterial small subunit ribosomal RNA", at positions 355 to 774 of the family's 1533-position model. The record is from RNAcentral.
UGGGGAAUAUUGGACAAUGGGCGAAAGCCUGAUCCAGCCAUGCCGCGUGUGUGAAGAAGGUCUUCGGAUUGUAAAGCACUUUAAGUUGGGAGGAAGGGCAUUAACCUAAUACGUUAGUGUUUUGACGUUACCGACAGAAUAAGCACCGGCUAACUCUGUGCCAGCAGCCGCGGUAAUACAGAGGGUGCAAGCGUUAAUCGGAAUUACUGGGCGUAAAGCGCGCGUAGGUGGUUUGUUAAGUUAGAUGUGAAAUCCCCGGUCUCAACCUGGGAACUGCAUUCAAAACUGACUGACUAGAGUAUGGUAGAGGGUGGUGGAAUUUCCUGUGUAGCGGUGAAAUGCGUAGAUAUAGGAAGGAACACCAGUGGCGAAGGCGACCACCUGGACUAAUACUGACACUGAGGUGCGAAAGCGUGGGGAGCAAACA